Molecule: long non-coding RNA, 541 nt
Filed under: Mus musculus (house mouse)
Lineage: Eukaryota; Metazoa; Chordata; Mammalia; Rodentia; Muridae
Description: long non-coding RNA chr11:46444262-46444803
Source: RNAcentral
GCUUGUGCACAUACGCAAAGAGUAAAAAGUAAUCUUUUGCAACUCUGUCAAUGAAUAGACAAGCAAAACAUUUCCUAAGUCUUAUAAAGUUAGUAUAAGCAAAAUAUUAAACUGAAACCAGUAAUAAUUUUUUAAAAAAGGUUUUUUAUGGCCAAUUUGCACUUACUUCAAGAAUGUGGAAUAGUAAAAUAAUAUGCUACAUAAUGGGUUUAGGAAUAAAAAUCACUUUCUCAAUAGGUGUAAAAUUUGUGAGAAUUAGGAUCCAUUCAUAAAAAAGAAAAACAACUCUUUAGCAAGAAUAGAAGGGAAUUUCCUUAAAAUAAACAGCAGCUCUUAAAAAAAAAAAAUCAACCAAGGAUGCCUGCUAUCAAAGCUUCAAGUAUGUACUAGAUUCACUAACCAGCAAAGCACAAAAAAUAAAAUAUUGAAAAGGAAGAAACUAAGAGAUCACCGCUGAACAGAAAAUAACCCUCAGCAUAAAUAAUUUCAUAUAAUCUAAAGAUAAUGGAUUAGUAAACAGCUACGAGUUGUUGCACCAACC